This is a non-coding RNA of Cyanistes caeruleus (blue tit), 4474 nucleotides long. The record is from RefSeq and is a predicted model, not a curated record. NCBI's taxonomy places the organism in Eukaryota, Metazoa, Chordata, Aves, Passeriformes, Paridae.
CCGCGGCACCAGCUGCCGGGGCCUGCUGGCCUCCGAUGGAUCUGUGCUCGCAGCCUGCCUCUCUUGUGCAGCCAGACAGACCGCACCGGCAGAAGCUUGGCAAAAGCGUGGGCCGCGCUCGUUCUCGUUUUGGAAGAAUUAACUGAAAAGCCUCCCUAGCUGCCCUUUGAGUGUUAUGGAGCGGAGCCAUGAGAACAUAUCAAAAGCAAAGACGGGUUUGAACUGAAGACACAGCCAUCAAUAAAACUAACUCUGUACAAAACCUGGGAAAAUCCAGAGAGAUUUCCUGAAACGAAUUGCACAAACCAAACACCCUGCGGCUGAGGAAGUUUCUGCUGUACCCAUGCGUUAUGAAUCCACAAAUAUCACGGCAAAGAUGGUGCAUUAACUGCUGCUAAUGAGUGCAAACAUGAGUAUAAACACUGGGAAAUACUGAUGGUGUUUAAAAACAAACAAAAACCAGAGUGAAACAGAAAAACUCUCUCCCUUCGCAGGACCUGUCUGGACAGGCUGCCAAAUCCCUGCCUGCAGCAGCUCCCUAUGGGAGCCUGAUCCCUCUUUGUCCCAUCCCUCUCCAAGGCAGCAGCUCAGACACCCUGCCUGACUUCACUGAUUCCCUCUCUGCCACCACUUGAGAUGCAAGUGAGUGGCAGAGGGAGGAUUGGGGGUCCUUUUUAUUUCCCUUGUGUCUGCUAGCUGGGUGAUUCAGUACAUUCACUUUUCUUUUAGUCCCUGGAUGUUAGCCCUGCUGUUCUCUAUAGGAUAUUCUUCAUUUCUACUUGAAACUGGUUUUUUUCCUCCUUCAUGUUAUUACUAUUAUCUCAACUGGGUUAGAUGAAAAACUGUUUUCGUACACUGAGGAAAUAUCUCUUUCCCAACAGUUUAGUUGCUACCCCCACAACAGACUGGAGUUUGCUCUUGUGGAUUUUAGUUGUCUUUUCUCCCCAGAGUCAUCCUGUAGAUGCUUGCAUUGUCCCUAAAUUGCAUUGUGACUUUAUUUUUUUUCUUUUCUCCUUACUGUCCCCAUGAUAUGGCAAUAAGUUUAAGGGACACUAUUUUUUUUUUUUUUUCCCUUCUACAUCUGCCAUAAUGACUCAUACAGCUCCUGAAUCUAUAGAUGGUGCAUUUUUCACCCCCUAAGUAGGACAUUCACGACAACCUUUCUCCUGACAGCAGACCACUGUGCUAAGCAGCAAUCUGUCAUCUGCUGCUUUGGGCAGCCGUCCUGAAGAAGUGCUCUUGUACACGCUGGGAGCAAGGACAGUGAUGUGCAACUGUUGGGAUGUAUCCUACAUGGGGUUUGUCCUGUGGAGAGCUCUUCUGUGUGCCCAUGUUUCUGAGCACUCUGGGAUGUGCUGGCCUUGCUGGGAGAUGCAGCUGCUCAGGUGUGGGGCUGCCCUCAGACUUGGCCAGCAUGGAUGCAUCUGUCAGGAUGAUGCAGUUGAUAAGGACAGAAAUAAACCCAUGAAUCAAGUGGUGUUGGGAAGUCUGCAACAGGCUCUGGGAAGGAAACUCACCCCAUAGCACUGCAGUAAUGGCUUAAACCAGGUGUGAGUAAAAAUCAGAUGUGACCUCACCUGAAAACGUGUAAGGUACAAAGAACUCUGGUUCUUUCGUCAUCCUUUAGUCUCCAUUGCCUCUACUAGGACUGGCCCAAAAUCUGUCUGAAAACUCUCUUUCUUUGAGUCUCUUUCUGAAAACUACACAGCUGCCCAAUUACAUGAUGGGACACCUAUGGACAUGCCUAUUUUCAUGUACUUCUAGGUCUUUGCAGGACCAAAAUUCUCUCUAGCACUUUCUUACCAUAAAGUUGUUGCACAGUUUUGGUAGAUUGUAAACCAUUAAUCUAAUGAGGUCUAAUUACAAAAGGAAGUAAUUUUAAUAUGUGUUGAGUGAAAUCCCCCUCCCCUAUGUUACACAUUUCUAGAUUUACUGCACCCAGUUUUCAAGUUUCUCUGAUUUCUUCUUUUUUUUUUUUUUACUAUGUGACAAUUUAACCAAGAAUGCAAUGCACUUCAGAUUGCCUACCCUUAUUAAAAAUCAGUAGAUUUUUCACCCACACUUUUUUUCCCUUGCUUAUCUGCAGAGCAAAUGCAGACCUAUUUGCUUAAAUCAAGACUUGCAAUUCACCAGAACAUCAAAAGAGCAGCCCCUAUCAGUUCAGUUGCUUUUAUUAUUGCAGCUUGUCUCCAUGAUCUCCACUGCGUUCUUGCUGCAAAAGGAGGUCUCUUUAUCACUUUCCUUCUGCUCUUAGUGGAAUCUGCCUUAGCAAUCAGAAUAAUAAUGAUUUAUCUCCAAGGGAAUGUGAAUGCAAGCCAAGUUCCCUUGGUAUAGGGAAAUCAGUUUGGUAUUGUUUACUCAUCCCCUGUGGAUUCACCAGAUGGCAUCAGACAGCAUAAUUUGGAUUCUGUGCUCAAAAGAGAGGGAAGGCUGGAGCUGCAGGAAUUGGUAAUGUGAAAUUACCAGGAACAGUUCUGAUCUUUUUUUUUGAGGAUAUGGCAUGUCUUUCAUCUUUGUUAUAGAACAUUCAAGGAACCAAAUUGUAGCACACCUGGACUCUUAACAUCUUAAGUAAACCAUUUUUAGCAUGGUCAUUUAUGAAUUAUUUUGGCUGCUCUUCCAAUAACUGCUUCCUCUGGAGAGGAUGCUUUUCCUGGGCUGGGUUGAAGGUCCUGAGCAGGUCAGCAGAGAAGAGGCAGUGGGAAAUGAGGUGUUGCAGCUGUUUUCUUCUAGGCCAGCACUGCUUCAGUUCUGUAAAUAGAGGAUUUAGGUUUCUGUUCUUUAAAUAUCCCAAGCAUAAAUUAUUCACUCAAAAUACAUUUGUCAAAGAAGAAGCACUAGGAAAACAGAAGUGGAAAGCCUUAGCAGAGUCUGAAUGAGCUACAGCUUUACUGACCACAGCACAAAGCACUCAGUGUAGCCUAACGUCCCAGCCCUGAGGGAUGGAGAAGAUGAUCUAAUCAUUCUUGUCCAUCUUGUUUCUACAGUUUUAUUAUUUGAAUUAUUUUCAAGCCAGAUACUAAACGGACAUAAGCUUUUCUGUAGUGAAUCUUGCUGCACUGAUUUAUAGCUGCUGAGUGUCUGGCCUUUGCGGACUGUUUUAACCUCUAGAAUAUUGAUUUCUCCUUUUAUUUUCCCUGGUGCUGCAAGCAAGCCCCUUGGUCAGGAUCCUGGGUUGUGCAAUAUACAAAAGUGUGAUGGUGCCAUGAUUUGUAAGAAUGUGCAACCAAAAGGGUGAAAAGUUCAGCAGUCUUAGCUGCAGCGCAGCGUAAUCACCGUAAAAGGGGCCACGGCCUCCAAAAAUCACUUGACAGCAGUGUUUGCUGUGUGGAACCCAUUCUGCUGCAGAUGAAGGACCAGAACCAGAGGUGAGUAGCGGGUACAGGGAGCCCAGAGGAGUGGGUCAGAGGACCCAGUACAGGGUCAGGACAUUGAGGGGAAGGACAUGAGGACAUUUUUGGUAGCUGUCCACUCAGGAGAGCAGCUUUUUUGGAGCUGUUCACUCCCUGACAGGUCUCAUUGCCUCUGACCCUUCCUUCCUGGAAUCACUGCUCACCACAUCCAUUCUCUCUUUCUCCCCUUCUCCCUGCUGCUGUCCUCCUUUCAGAGCAGGGCUUCAGCUCAGCCUCAGCUGUCAAGACUCUGAAGGCCCCUGGUAAGAUCAGAAACUCUAGCUGAAAGGAUUGCUUGUAGCAGAGGACAGUCUAUGAAGGCAGAAGAAGUGUGAAGUUUGGGAGCAUAAAAAUAGUUUGCAAAGCACCAGUGGUGCGGAUCUGCCAGCCAGAUCACUUACCAGAAGGCAUCUGAGAGGGUGGUGGAUGCUGAUACCCCAAAGGUGAAUUUUGGUUCUUGAAGGAUAGUUCUUCCUCGUUCUCAGAGGGACAGUGCCAAGCUGCAUCCUUGCUCCUGAGAUACCCCGGAAGAGCCACUGAAGGGAAAGAAGAAGGUGAGGGGCAGACCACCCACUGCACCUUCAUGCCAGCAGCUACAGAAGGUGUUGAAAACUUCUGGAGACCCAAAUGAUACAAGGGCUUAUCAUGUGACAGAGCCACCAGUAUGAAAGAGUCCAGACCAGGAGCUUCAGUCAGUCCCCAGUCCUUCUUGUGACUUCAAAGAUGGCUGGGCCAGUCAAAGGGGUGUCUGUCAGGAUAAAAUAUGCUCCCAGUUUUAGCUAGGCCUGAUACAGAUAUGCCUUUCUUGAGGAGGCUAAUUAAAGUGAUAGAGUAUCUAUCAUCUUCGCCCACACACAUGCUCUGUCAUGAGUGGUUUGCUUCCUAAAAGGAAUAUACACCUGCCUAUGAUACAGCAUUCCAGAGGAGACUGUUGCAGGAGCAAGUAUUACCUUGUGCUGUCCCUCCUAUGGUUAUCUGUGUUAAUGACAGUGGAAUUCAGAGCUAGGAGUCUGCCUGCUGUCUGUACCCUUCUGUAUCUUUAUUUUGUAACUGAUGAAUAAAAAAAGUGAGCUUUUGCUUGA